ACGCCUUCAUGAAGCCGGAAUUGCUAGUAAUGGCAGGUCAGCAUACUGCCGUGAAUACGUUCCCGGGCCUUGUACACACCGCCCGUCACACCAUGAGAGUUGGGAAUACCCGAAGCCUGUGAGCUAACUUUUAGAGGCAGCAGUCGAAGGUAGAAUCAAUGAUUGGGGUGAAGUCGUAACAAGGUACC
This 188-nucleotide ribosomal RNA is filed under the name uncultured bacterium. RNAcentral's name for it is "partial 16S ribosomal RNA". It matches the Rfam family "Bacterial small subunit ribosomal RNA", at positions 1312 to 1500 of the family's 1533-position model. The record is from RNAcentral.